Molecule: ribosomal RNA, 253 nt
Filed under: uncultured bacterium
Lineage: Bacteria
Description: partial 16S ribosomal RNA
Rfam family: Bacterial small subunit ribosomal RNA
Source: RNAcentral
UACAGAGGUCUCAAGCGUUGUUCGGAUUCAUUGGGCGUAAAGGGUGCGUAGGCGGCGCGGUAAGUCGGGUGUGAAAUCUCGGAGCUUAACUCCGAAACUGCAUUCGAUACUGGCGUGCUUGAGGACUGGAGAGGAGACUGGAAUUCAUGGUGUAGCAGUGAAAUGCGUAGAGAUCAUGAGGAAGACCAGUGGCGAAGGCGGGUCUCUGGACAGUUCCUGACACUGAGGCACGAAGGCCAGGGGAGCAAACGGG